UAAGAUGGCAACACAGACAACACAUUAAGACACACAACACAUCAACUUGGCAACACACACAACACAUUAACACACACAACACAUCAACUUGGCAACACACACAAGACAUUAACACACACAACACUUUAACUUGGCAGCACCCACAACACAUUAACUUGGCAGCACCCACAACACAUCAACUUGGCAGCACCCACAACACUUCAACUUGGCAGCACCCACAACACAUUAACUUCACAACGGAAGUUUGAUCCACAACGGAAGUUGCGUGGCUUUUAUUCUGAAAUUUCCACCGGGCUAACCGGCUAACAGAAAGUUUCGUCACAGCUGGUGAACUGCAGUGGGAGAAUACACGACAAGCAAGCACUCUGAACAAUGGGAAGAAGGUUCUUUUCUUUUUAAAUGAAGAAUUUAAAAGUGAGCUGAGCUCUAGAAGGAGAAACUUCUGCUCGUUUUUUUCUGAGUUGGUCUUUUUUCUCUCGUCUUUUGAACAUCGUUUUGGAGAACUUAUCAGAUACAAGACAAGGAAAGGAACAACAGAGGGAUGGUGAAGAGGAAAAUAGAAAAGACAUUCUCAAAUAGAAAAUAUAAAGUGGUCCAGUGAUAAAAGACUUCCAGGAUGGCAAUCUUUGAAGUAUGUCAAGUAAAUAUCAUUUGUUUAGUACAGUAAUUUUUGUAAUUCUUUGUAAUGCAGUAUAAGCUUUUGAAAUUAGAACAUGACUAAAAAUUAUGAAGUGGGGAAGAUUGCAAUGUAAACAGGAACUAUAAUUAGCAAAAAAUAAA
Molecule: long non-coding RNA, 780 nt
Organism: Oryzias melastigma (Indian medaka)
Lineage: Eukaryota; Metazoa; Chordata; Actinopteri; Beloniformes; Adrianichthyidae
Exons: 2
Source: RefSeq, a predicted model, not a curated record